GUUAUUACAGGAAAUGAUCAUGUUUUGAUCUCAAAAAUCAAACAACACUUGUUCAGUCAUUUUCAGACUAAGGAUUUUGGGAAGCUAAAGUAUUUCUUGGAGAUUGAAGUGACACAAUCCAAGACAGGUAUCGUUAUUUUUCAAAGGAAAUAUGCUUUGGAUAUUAUAUUGACAAAGAUGGGCAUGUUAGACUAUAGACACGCAGAUACUUCGAUGGAUCCAAAUGUCGAACUUGUUCCUGGACAGGGGG
RNAcentral lists this unclassified non-coding RNA (250 nucleotides) under Hevea brasiliensis (rubber tree). Lineage: Eukaryota; Viridiplantae; Streptophyta; Magnoliopsida; Malpighiales; Euphorbiaceae. The record is from RNAcentral.